This 217-nucleotide ribosomal RNA is filed under the name uncultured bacterium. RNAcentral's name for it is "partial 16S ribosomal RNA". It matches the Rfam family "Bacterial small subunit ribosomal RNA", at positions 134 to 334 of the family's 1533-position model. The record is from RNAcentral.
GCGGGGGGAUAAAGCCGGAGAAAUCCGGGGUAAUACCGCAUAGCUUGGAGGGGGACAUCCCCGUUCAAGAAAGGAGAGCCAUUCGAGAGGAUGCUCUUCACUUUCGGAGGGGCUUGCGGCCUAUCAGCUAGUUGGGGGGGUGACGGCCUCCCAAGGCGACGACGGGUAGCUGGUCUGAGAGGACGGCCAGCCGGACUGGGACUGAGACACGGCCCAG